Molecule: ribosomal RNA, 490 nt
Filed under: uncultured bacterium
Lineage: Bacteria
Description: partial 16S ribosomal RNA
Rfam family: Bacterial small subunit ribosomal RNA
Source: RNAcentral
AUUGAACGCUGGCGGCAUGCUUUACACAUGCAAGUCGGACGGCAGCACAGAGAAGCUUGCUUCUUGGGUGGCGAGUGGCGAACGGGUGAGUAACAUAUCGGAACGUACCGAGCAGUGGGGGAUAACUAAUCGAAAGAUUAGCUAAUACCGCAUAUCUUCUGAGGAAGAAAGCAGGGGACCAUUUGGCCUUGCGCUGUUUGAGCGGCCGAUAUCUGAUUAGCUAGUUGGUGGGGUAAAGGCCUACCAAGGCGACGAUCAGUAGCGGGUCUGAGAGGAUGAUCCGCCACACUGGGACUGAGACACGGCCCAGACUCCUACGGGAGGCAGCAGUGGGGAAUUUUGGACAAAGGGCGCAAGCCUGAUCCAGCCAUGCCGCGUGUCUGAAGAAGGCCUUCGGGUUGUAAAGGACUUUUGUCAGGGAAGAAAAGGGCGGGGUUAAUACCCCUGUCUGAUGACGGUACCUGAAGAAUAAGCACCGGCUAACUACGUG